RNAcentral lists this ribosomal RNA (310 nucleotides) under Candidatus Woesebacteria bacterium RIFCSPLOWO2_01_FULL_39_14. Its description in RNAcentral is "bacterial SSU rRNA". It matches the Rfam family "Bacterial small subunit ribosomal RNA", at positions 1071 to 1394 of the family's 1533-position model. Lineage: Bacteria; Candidatus Woeseibacteriota. The record is from RNAcentral.
GAUGUUCCCUUCAGUGGGGUAACGAGCGCAACCCUCGCCGUAUGUUAAAUUGUUCAUACGGGACUGGUCGCCUUUGGCGACAGGAAGUGGGGACGACGUUAAGUCAGCAUGGCCCUUAUGUCCAGGGCAACACACAUGCUACAAUGAAGCCGACAAUGGGUUGCCAAGUGGUAACACGGAGCUAAUCCCAUCAAACGGCUUCUCAGUGGGGAUUGGGGGCUGCAACUCGCCCUCAUGAACGCGGAAUUGGUAGUAAUCGCGAAUCAGCUAAGUCGCGGUGAAUACGUUCUCGGGUCUUGUACACACCGCC